CACAAACAGUGAAAGUGAAAGCUUCAGAGACUUGGUGAGGAGAAGCAAACACCCUGGCUCAGUUGCCAUCUGACUGAAGAGCGGUGAGGAUGUCUAUCCUGUUCCAGGUGUUUGUAGAAGGGGUGGAGGGCAGAAAAAGCAUCAUAGAUGUGGCAAAUGAAGAGCAGGAAUUCAACAAUAUGACCACUGACAAAUUCAUGGAGAUGGUGGCAGCCAAACUCCUGAAGAGGCCAGGUUACCAACAAUUUAGUUUGCUGUACGCUAACCAACAAGUGGAAAGAGGGAAGAAAUUCUCAGAUUAUUUUAUCAGAAACAAGUCUAUCUUCGUCAUGGUUAUACAGCUGCCUGGAGGAGGGGGUAACAUGUUGACUUAAUGAAGGACUCCGUUUUCACAUAAGAAAUGAUGUGCAUUGGGGCCUACCCUGGAUUUGGUUAUCAUUUGCCUGGAAAGAAACCAGAGAGGGGAGUGGUGAUGAGCCUCAAGGGUUACUGUCACACCCAGGUUUCAAAGUAGCAGCCAUGUUAGUCUGUAUCUGAAGAAGUGGGCUGUAGCCCACGAAAGCUUAUGCUGAAAUAAAUGUGUUAGUCUCUAAGGUGCCACAAGUACUCCUGUUCUUUUUGUCACACCCAGAGCUCAGCACACCAGAGGGGACACCCGGACAUCACUGCCAGUCCACCAAGCCACCAGGUUGAUAAACACGAGGAUCCGGCUGUUUUCCUUUCCCUUGUGUGUUCCUUUCCAUCCCCUCUAUCUUCCGCCUGUCCUAUCUCUCUCUCUCUCUGUGUCUUUGAGCUGAUCCUGUAACCAACUGCAAGGCAUGACACCAGCACAAUGGAAUAAGAGAGCCACUCAGUGAAGGACUGGUGAAGAAAAGGACCUGCCGAGACCAGCCAGAUGAUGACCAGGAGCGGGAAAGUGAGUCAGGGUCCAGAACAACAGCUAUCCUGACCGACUUGCCAGUCCAGAGAGCAUCUGUCCAUGACAGACCAGCUGUCUUGUGUCCUGAAAACACCAACAAAAAGCUGUAUUUCUCCCACCUUAUUAUCUGUUCUCUUCCUCCACUUCCCUUUGCAUCUGUUUUGUUAAAAGCAGGGAAAGUAACCACAAAACUCACAGCUCUCAACAAAAGAACGAACCAUCUUCCCCGCUAAGAAAUGAGCCACAAUGAGAGACUCUCACCAAUAUCCUCUCUGAAAAAAGGAACUUCACGUUUUGCUUACGAUUGUUUUGCUUAACGCUCACUUUCAAAAUACUUUGUCUUGUUUUAAAUGCUUUUCUUGGGUAUCCUGAUCAAUAAAUUUCCAAGUUGCAGCGU
Molecule: long non-coding RNA, 1316 nt
Organism: Emys orbicularis (European pond turtle)
Lineage: Eukaryota; Metazoa; Chordata; Testudines; Emydidae
Exons: 2
Source: RefSeq, a predicted model, not a curated record